GCCUCGUUGGCGUAGUGGUAGCGCGUCGCACUUGUAAUGCGAAGGCCACUCGUUCAAUCCGGGUACGAGGCA
This 72-nucleotide transfer RNA is filed under the name Phlebiopsis gigantea 11061_1 CR5-6. RNAcentral's name for it is "tRNA-Thr (TGT) (tRNA-Thr-TGT-2-1)". It matches the Rfam family "tRNA". Rfam says of the family: Transfer RNA (tRNA) molecules are approximately 80 nucleotides in length. Their secondary structure includes four short double-helical elements and three loops (D, anti-codon, and T loops). Further hydrogen bonds mediate the characteristic L-shaped molecular structure. tRNAs have two regions of fundamental functional importance: the anti-codon, which is responsible for specific mRNA codon recognition, and the 3' end, to which the tRNAs corresponding amino acid is attached (by aminoacyl-tRNA synthetases). tRNAs cope with the degeneracy of the genetic code in two manners: having more than one tRNA (with a specific anti-codon) for a particular amino acid; and 'wobble' base-pairing, i.e. permitting non-standard base-pairing at the 3rd anti-codon position. Lineage: Eukaryota; Fungi; Basidiomycota; Agaricomycetes; Polyporales; Phanerochaetaceae. The record is from RNAcentral.